GCAAAGUGUGCAAACUCUCCCCACCCCAUCAUGUGUGCGUCCUUUUUGUAGCAUAAGACAAGCCAUUACAUACCUUAAAAGUUAACAAAAAGCUUAAUUAGUGCCUGACUUUUUGCUGGGGAAGUGUGCAUAACGGCCUUCAGCUUUAUUCAAUACUGUGUUUGUGAGAGCUAACUGUAACCUUCUUGGAUACUACCUAUUAGCGUGCAAGCUAAUGCAAGUACGGUCUAUUUUAUGAGUGAACUGUGGAGCUUGAGCGCAUAGACCGCGCGUCGCGUAAAGUGACUUCUCUUGAUGCGCCUUCCAGAGAGACACGACUGCAUCGCCAUUGGUCUUUACUGCGUCACCACAGAGUUGAUGUGUGGACUUUUCUUUCUUCACUGCCAAGAUGUUCCUUCCAAGCUGCUGAGACGGGUUUCGGACUUAAUGCGUCUCCAUUCGGCCGUGUCCAAAGGAGUUUGUUGGACUGUCUGUUCGCUGCAGACCCCAUCACUGUCCAGCCAUUAUGGGGGAUGGCAUGUGACCAGCCAUUAUGAGGGUGUCCCAAAAGGGUCAGCAUAGACCUGAAAUCUGAUAGGCCAUCCUUGGUGCAACCCCAGUGUACCUGGUCAGAGGAUCCCUCUGCUUUGGUCUUGGGGGAGUGAAGUCAUCAGGCUCAAGUCCAAAUCAAGCCACAAAGGACAUUUGAUCUGCAGCAGGCAUCAAGAAACAACAGAUCCAUGGAGAACAACAUCAGGAAUAUAGAUGCAUAAAUUCAACAGCUCAGCAGACAGAACAAGCAAGCCCUAUUGUGAGUGCCAUCAUCUCAAAAGAGCUUAGUGGGCAGAACUGCUUUUUGACUGAGGAUGAAACACAGCCUAACAGACAGAAUCGAUGCACCUCGUCCAAACUGGCAUGGCCUGCGUUUGCAGUCCCUCCAUCUCUCUGCGUUGCUGUAUUCAAUAAGAAGAUGGUAUAGUAGCCCCACUGCAGCAUCUUCAGCUGCACAGGCGGUUACUUUCAGUCAAAUCAGACACAGAAAUACUGUUCAGAUGUAUGAUUUGAAGAGCAGUGUGGCCGACUCGCCGUGCACUUUUAACUUCAAUGUCACCCACCAGUAGAUUUCCCUCAGGGCUUAACUGAUUUGUAAAUGCCGCAGUUCGCCCCUUUGUGCUGCUUACAAUGUGCCUUUGAAAAAUAGAGAAAGAAUAAUAAGUUCUAUUCCCUUUUAUCCUGCAUUGUGCCACUCGGUGCACCUGGGGAAGUGUAGCACUUGCAUGAUAAGAGGAAUAUUGAAAGAGAAGCCGACUGAAUUCAAUAUUUCAGUAUUUUUCUCUCCCUAUACUAUUCAGUGUUGCUGACUUUUAGGGCACUCCAAAGUGUUUUGCCCCACACUUUUUAGUCACACAUAGUUUGACUCAUGCUAAAGACCAGAAUCUAUUCUUCCUGGGGUUUGCACAGGUUGCAUGGGGAUAAUGCAAAAUGUGCUUUUAGACUGCUUAUCACACAACACAUACACCAUAAUUCAUCAUGCAUCUACAAGAAAUACAAAAGAAAAUAGCAAAAACAAUGUCAAUAUAUGGACUAAACUUUUAUAUGGUCUGAGUAAAUACCUUUAACUACAGGAUGCUGGAACAGAAUGCCCAGAGUGUGGACUAAAAUGGCAAACACGCCCUUUGUCCCAUGCAGAUGCUGAACAAACUCUGAUGCAGUCUGUAAUUUGCAUGCCGAGUGCUUUUGAACUGGGCACUUUAUAUUCCUCAUAAGGUACCAUGCAAUGCCCCAAUGAUGUAGUUUUCAAAUGACUUUGUUUUUAAUGUCUGUCUUGUAUUGCUGUUGAUAUCUUUUUCAUUCGUCAUUCAUGUGUUAUCAUGCCAUUG
This is a long non-coding RNA of Notolabrus celidotus (New Zealand spotty), 1859 nucleotides long. RefSeq lists it as uncharacterized. NCBI's taxonomy places the organism in Eukaryota, Metazoa, Chordata, Actinopteri, Labriformes, Labridae. The transcript is spliced from 5 exons. The record is from RefSeq and is a predicted model, not a curated record.